This 119-nucleotide ribosomal RNA is filed under the name Vigna angularis (adzuki bean). The record is from RNAcentral. Lineage: Eukaryota; Viridiplantae; Streptophyta; Magnoliopsida; Fabales; Fabaceae.
AGGGGAGAUCAUACCAGCACUAAUGCACCGGAUCCCAUCAGAACUCCGCAGAUAAGCGUGCUUGGGCAAGAGAAGUGCUAGGAUGGGUGACCUCCUGGGAAGUGCUCGUGUUGCACCUC